Molecule: long non-coding RNA, 305 nt
Filed under: Lathyrus oleraceus (garden pea)
Lineage: Eukaryota; Viridiplantae; Streptophyta; Magnoliopsida; Fabales; Fabaceae
Description: Pisum sativum (pea) long non-coding RNA (PSAT_LNC026650)
Source: RNAcentral
UUAUUUUUCACUAUUUUUCUUCCAAGCAAGCAUUUUUUUUUUCAUUCUUUCUAUUUUUGUUCUUUUCUUUCACAUCAAAUAUACAAAACGGAUGUUUAUUUUCUACAUUUUCUAUACAUAUAUUUUUCUAUGCUUGCUCGGUUUUUCUUUUCUUUUUUCAAGAGUUGUGGUACUUACCAAUUCUUUUUCGUUCUCCCCAACUUAUUUCUUCCACACCCUAAGUGAAUGCUCUUAACUUUUUACGGCAAAAGACAAUAAACAAGAUUUUCCGGGUUGUGUAAAAAAAAAGAUUUUUGAGAUCUCGC